RNAcentral lists this long non-coding RNA (615 nucleotides) under Homo sapiens (human). RNAcentral describes it as "non-protein coding lnc-SLC17A9-2:1". Lineage: Eukaryota; Metazoa; Chordata; Mammalia; Primates; Hominidae. The record is from RNAcentral.
UAAUCACAGCACAAUCAUUGCAGGCCACAGGGCAGAAAGUGCUAAUGUAGUUUAAAAACAGUACAUUUGAAUCUGGACACUGGCAAGAAAAUAGGCAAAAUAAAUACUUUUGUCCACCCCUCCCUACCCUCUUUUGGUGACUUGGGGUGGCCUGGGUCGGUGCUCAGCCCAGGGUCCCGCGGCCAGAGCCAACCAUGGCGCGCCUGGUCUCCUCCAGAUAAACGCGCGCCCACGUCUCUGCUGGGCUUUGGAAUUAGCUCAAUACUCAUUCAGACGCAGAGUGCGUGUGCCCUGCCAGGACAGACGUCAUUGCUGUGCGGUGCUUGAGUGCCAUCAAUAAGCCACAGAAGAGAAAUCCGGAAACAAGGGACGCGCAGCGUGAUUCCGUGCCACGGCGUCAGGAGCGGCAUGUAGCAUCUUUUGGUUUGAGAGUAAAAUUCCGCAAUCAGAAAUGAAAUCUGUGUCAGGCCUGGGUGCCGCCAGGAGGCCUCCUUCCAGCUCUCUGCAAGCUGGCCCCGUGUUCACGGGCAUCCAGCGGGAUCCACCAUGGAAAGACAGCUUUCUCAGAGGCAUCUCAGCACGUGGGCCCAGCCAGAACCUCGAGGGCUUCUGUCC